This is a long non-coding RNA of Amaranthus tricolor (Joseph's coat), 934 nucleotides long. RefSeq lists it as uncharacterized. The transcript is spliced from 3 exons. The record is from RefSeq and is a predicted model, not a curated record. NCBI's taxonomy places the organism in Eukaryota, Viridiplantae, Streptophyta, Magnoliopsida, Caryophyllales, Amaranthaceae.
UCCCUCCCUCACUCACAAAGAAUCAAACUGUCACUCCCUCCUUCCCUCUCUUCUUCCUUUUCUUUCUCUUCUCCCUGUGAAGAUACACUGCACGCUCACGGUGCACAGCAACAACCACAACCGGCUACCCCUCCUGCAAUCACAGCCGGCUGCUCUUCUCCCCAGAAUCGGAAGCACGACCGUCUCCUCCAAGCAGCAGCAACUACCGCUUUUGCUCCCCAACGACAGCAGCAGGCUGUUGUGACGUCAACGUCAACAGCCGCAACCUUCCUCCACCAUUUUCGUGCUCCACACCACCACAACAACCACCUAUACCCUCACUUUUUUUAGUUUCUCCAUUGUGCCCAUUUCGUAAGAGGAAAGUAGAGCCUUAGUUGGGUGAUUUUGUGACUUUUGAUCGUGCAGUAACGCUUACAGCAGAAGGAUCAUGGACAGGCGUAGCAGAUAUUGGAGCUUCAUUUGCAUUGCAUUGCAUUGGGGAAGAGUGAUGAGGGUGAAGCAUAAUCUGUGUCAUGCCGCUAUCUUUCGAUUUUGUAGCUCUAGUUAUCUUUUGUAAACUUUGGUUGUAUAUGUUUUGUUAUGAGGCCUUGUGUCCUCCCUCGUAUAUUUGUAUUUCCGCUGCGUAGUUUAUAACUCUGCAUGGUGUUAAGGAGUUAAGUCUUUUUAAAACGCAAAUGUCGACACUGGAACCACGAUCCAUGCUUGGCAUGUUGAUUUGAGAAGCCGGCGACGAAUCAUUCCGCCGUGGUGUGAGAUUUUAAAGGCAAUGAUGCCUUAGAUUAGUUUAAUGUUUUUAUAUUGCUAAAUGCUUUACCACAUGUUCGAUUUUUAGAAGAGAUGCUGCGAAAUUUCCACGCACCUUUUUAAAGUUAAUAUUUAACGUUUAUCUAAAUUCUUUUCCUUUUUUUUAUGUAACACCCGAAUUUCCUCUCGU